UAUAAAUAAUCCUUUAUUAUUUUAGGUUUAAGUUUGUAAUGAAUAAAAUAACAUCGUUGACAAGGUCCACGAACUUUCUCGAUUUCGUGGCCCGUAACGGCAAGUCAUGGAUUAAUGCUGGAUCGAUGGUGGAUCUGCGUAAUUUAUUUUACGACGUGGGCACUAUGGCAAGAUAUAGUUUGGAUAAGAAAAAUACUACUGCUACAUCUCCCGUUUGCUGGCAAUUCACACAAUGGAACAGAAACUGUACCCCUGCUUAGUAACAAUGCUUGUAAUUUCAAAAAAACACCGUCCAUUUCUGACUUAAAUGCCGAGCCCGCAAUCGAAAGAUAAAACGAGCGAAAUUCAUUUAGUUAUGAUGAUGUCAUGACAAACGCCAUAACGAAGAAUGUUUCAAAGGAUUGGAAGAUCUAAAGGGAAAAAAAACAUUCCAAUGCCAUUGCGACAAGCCGCGAUAUUUUAUCCUUCCCUGCGAGAAUCACCUGCUACAUGGAUUAGGGAUGUAUGUAGGAGUAAUGUAUCCUGAGCAACAUAGGAGGAGCCGUCAUACACGCUUGUGGGAAGCCGGAGAUGGGGUCAGGAACAUAACUAAAGCACUGCACACACUAAGUGCAACAAA
Molecule: long non-coding RNA, 619 nt
Organism: Topomyia yanbarensis
Lineage: Eukaryota; Metazoa; Arthropoda; Insecta; Diptera; Culicidae
Exons: 3
Source: RefSeq, a predicted model, not a curated record